This is a long non-coding RNA of Prunus persica (peach), 1261 nucleotides long. RefSeq lists it as uncharacterized. The record is from RefSeq and is a predicted model, not a curated record. Lineage: Eukaryota; Viridiplantae; Streptophyta; Magnoliopsida; Rosales; Rosaceae. The transcript is spliced from 6 exons.
UGGUAAUCCAAAACAUAUUUCAAAAACACGUCGGUUGACAAGAAGAACCGACGUGCAUCCAAAACACGCUAAACACUGUUUCAGUCAAGUCGUCACUCUCAGCUUUACCACCAAAAACUAAAGUUGUCUUUCUCAACCUAAUUUUUCACGCCCCGCUCAAUGUUCUAAGUUUCCCUCUCCGUGAAAAUUCCCUUCCCUCUCGAUGAAGCCCUCUCUCCCUAUCUGAGUUCAAACCCUCUCUCUCUCUCCCUCUCUAUCACAUCUCUACACCUAAACCCUCUCUCCCCAGCUCAAUCUUUUCUAAGCCGACUCUCACAUCUCAGAGAGACAGAGGCAACGAGGAGGUGGACUUCGGUGUCGGCUUCGUCACGAGGAUCGACGUCGGCUCCUUCUUCUAGAUCGUCGUCGGUGCCAUCUUCUUGAUAGUCGUCAUCGCAUGUAACUUCUCUUCGAGGUCCAGAGAGCGAAUCAGAAAGAGAGUCGAAAAGGUGAUGGCCAUUGGUGUCAUCGACAGAGUGAACGUCGUCAUCGCGCUCAUCGCCUGCUCGUCGCGGUCACGGUCAUCGCGGUCCUAGCCUUUUAGAGAAGAAGAUCGACAAAGAGGUUUCAUUUCAUUUUCCUCGGCUCUCCGACCCCGACCCCAACCCCAAAUCCAAAUCCUCUCUUCGAUCUCGGACCUCAAGAUACAUAGACAGCAGGGGAGUGGCUGGACCAAGAUUCCAUAGAGGACUUGGGCUUUGACAAUUUAACUGGAGGAAUCCCACAAUCCAUGAGUGGUUUAAAUUUAAUUCACUUGUAAGGAUGAUACUGCAGUUGUUCUCAAGUCAAGGCUGAGGCAUCUAUUUUAUUGUUGGUAAUUUCUAAACUACAAUACCUUGACCUUUGGGGGAGUAAAAUAUCUGACCAAGGUAGUUGCUGGAUUAGCAGCUGAUGGAAGGCAAAUUGUUGGCAGGACCAAGUCUGAAGCUAACAACUAUGAAAGCCUACAUGAUAGUAUAUAUGUCAUUAACUUUCUCUCCGAAUCUCUCUCAGUAAAGCAGGUCCUUUCGACACCACCAACUUGAAAAAUGUUUGCAAGAAGGCAGAGCUAAGUCAACCCAAUAACAAAUUGAUGAAGUUAAGAUCAAAUUAGUAGAAUUUGUGAGGUCCAUUAUUUCUGAUUAUAGGUAGGAAGUAUGUAUGUAAUAGAAUAAAGAUUGGUUGACUAUGUAAUAACUAUUGAAUCUUCAAGUUUUAUGAAAGAAAUAAUUUUUGAGUGUAU